GUCAAAGGAGGAUGGCCUGCCCUUGCUGAGUCUGGUUCCUCCCAAGUAUUUUUCCCACAUGAAAGAAAUGACCAUGUCAUCAGCAAAGUGACCCUACUGUGAGGUAGAAGGAUACCUCCACCAAGUGUCCCCAGUACUGCAAUAUUUCACUGUUUUACUGCAGGAGGGUGACCGCAAUACUCGUGUUGUGGUGUUUGACAUACAGCGCCACAAUGUCUUUGAGUGUGUGGAGAAAGACAGGAGUCCUGUGAAACUAAGUGGAGUCACAUUAAGGCCAUCAUUUCAAAAUCAGGGAAGAGAUGACAUAAUUGUCAACAGCUACAGCAAGAUUUCCAUUAUUUGACAGUUAUCAUUUGCCUUUGAUGAUGGUCUAAGAGCCAUCAGUGAAGCAAGAGCACUAAUGGAAAUUGCCAGUGACGUCAGGGAAUAUUAGAGGGUUACCAUCCAGGUCAAAAUACUCUGCCUCUUGUUUGAGAAGCAGAAUCUGACUCGCAGUCACAAGUCAUGAGGAAAACAUACCAAAUUGCUGACAAGACUUUCAGCAUGGCUUUAAGUGUGUGGGGUGAUAGCCAUGUUGACAUUGGAAAGUGGUAUGAGUUGCGGAACGUUUCUGUCCGGCAGUUUGAUAUGAAGCCAUGCCUUUCUACCACUCUGCAGACUGAGAUUAAGGUUCUGGAGGAUUUGGGUAAUUGCUUUCAGACUGUUGAAGAUGAAGUUGUCACCAUGGAGGGAGAAAUUGUUGAUACAGAAAUCAAAGAGAGUCACUUGUGUCCAAAAUUCCACAAAAUGGAUUUAGUAAACACCUCAACCUUAAUGAAUCGCUGUAUUAAAUGUGAUGCUUUCUGUAAAACUACAAAAAUCAAGUCUAUUUUGAAUGGCCAUAUAACAAUUGAGGUCAACUCAAUUCACCAGAAAAUUAUGAUAGAUGAUGGCCAUCUC
Cyprinus carpio carpio is the source of this 939-nucleotide long non-coding RNA. NCBI's taxonomy places the organism in Eukaryota, Metazoa, Chordata, Actinopteri, Cypriniformes, Cyprinidae. The record is from Ensembl.